CCCUACGGGGUGCAGCAGGCGAAAGUGAUGCUGGGUAAAAAUCCCGAUGAAGUUCGGGUGAUAAAACCUCUGAAAGAUGGCGUGAUAGCAGAUUUUCAGGUAACUGAAUUGAUGUUGCGCAAUCUUAUAUUACGGGCACAAAAAAAGCGUCUCUUAGUGCGUCCCAGAGUGAUCGUCUGUGUUCCUUCUGGCAUCACAGAAGUGGAAAAACGUGCCGUGCGCGAUAGUGCUUUGCAUGCUGGAGGGCGGGAAGUUUUCUUGAUUUCAGAGCCAGUUGUGGCAGCCAUUGGGGCAGAUUUACCCAUCGAUGAAGCCUGUGGUAACAUGGUGAUGGAUAUUGGCGGGAGGGC
Molecule: ribosomal RNA, 350 nt
Filed under: uncultured prokaryote
Description: partial 16S ribosomal RNA
Source: RNAcentral